UACGAAGGGGGCUAGCGUUGUUCGGAUUUACUGGGCGUAAAGCGCACGUAGGCGGAUCGUUAAGUGAGGGGUGAAAUCCCAGGGCUCAACCCUGGAACUGCCUCUCAUACUGGCGGUCUUGAGUUCGAGAGAGGUGAGUGGAAUUCCGAGUGUAGAGGUGAAAUUCGUAGAUAUUCGGAGGAACACCAGUGGCGAAGGCGGCUCACUGGCUCGAUACUGACGCUGAGGUGCGAAAGCGUGGGGAGCAAACAGG
Molecule: ribosomal RNA, 253 nt
Filed under: uncultured bacterium
Lineage: Bacteria
Description: partial 16S ribosomal RNA
Rfam family: Bacterial small subunit ribosomal RNA
Source: RNAcentral